GUGGUUAUGGCUCAGUGGUAGGGCACUCAUCUAGCACAUGUGAGGUGCUGGGUUCGAUCCUCAGCACUAUA
Molecule: transfer RNA, 71 nt
Filed under: Marmota monax (woodchuck)
Lineage: Eukaryota; Metazoa; Chordata; Mammalia; Rodentia; Sciuridae
Description: tRNA.Ala
Source: RNAcentral